UUGGUACAUUAAAAAAAUAGGGUUGGAAAUGUGCUAAACUCAUAGCAGUAUUUUCACUAAUACCACUAGAGCUUGCCUCUAUAACUGAAGUUUGAUAGUAUUCCCUGCCACAUAC
Small nucleolar RNA from Ictidomys tridecemlineatus (thirteen-lined ground squirrel), 115 nucleotides. Lineage: Eukaryota; Metazoa; Chordata; Mammalia; Rodentia; Sciuridae. The record is from Ensembl.